UCCAGACUCCUACGGGAGGCAGCAGUGGGGAAUAUUGCACAAUGGGGGGAACCCUGAUGCAGCGACGCCGCGUGGGUGAAGGAGCACCUCGGUGCGUAAAGCCCUCUCGGCAGGGAAGAAAAGCGAACAGGUUCGCCUGGACGGUACCUGACUAAGAAGCCCCGGCUAACUACGUGCCAGCAGCCGCGGUAAUACGUAGGGGGCAAGCGUUAUCCGGAUUUACUGGGUGUAAAGGGAGCGUAGACGGCUUGGCAAGCCAGAUGUGAAAGGCUGGGGCUCAACCCCAGGACUGCAUUUGGAACUGUCAUGCUAGAGUGUCGGAGAGGCAGGCGGAAUUCCUAGUGUAGCGGUGAAAUGCGUAGAUAUUAGGAGGAACACCAGUGGCGAAGGCGUCUUACUGGACCGAAACUGACGUUGAGGCUCGAAAGCGUGGGGAGCAAACAGGAUUAGAUACCCGCGUAGG
RNAcentral lists this ribosomal RNA (463 nucleotides) under uncultured bacterium. RNAcentral describes it as "partial 16S ribosomal RNA". It matches the Rfam family "Bacterial small subunit ribosomal RNA", at positions 330 to 794 of the family's 1533-position model. The record is from RNAcentral.